AGUUAAAAGAAACGUUUGGAAGAUUAUAAAAAAAAAGUUAAAGACAGGUAUUGGAAGAUGAAAAAAAGAUAGGUAAACACAGGUGUGAAAAAAAGUAAAGAAGGCGUUGAAGGUAAAGAAAAUAGGUAAAUACAGGUGUAAACAGGGAAAGAAAAAGAUGUAUAGGGCAAAGAAAACAGGUGUAAAGACAGCUGUAGAAAAAGAUAAAGAAGGGUUUGAAAGUAAAGAUAGGUAUAAAAAGCGGUAAAUAAAGCAUAGCGGCUGAAGACAAUAGGUAAAGACAGGUGUAAAUAGGUCAAGAAAAAAGGUAUUGAAGAUAAAGAUGGUAGAUAAAGACAAACGUGAAAGAGGAAGGUGGAAGAGUGACGGAUGAGAAGUAAUUACCGGUGAGCAGGUGAGGCGGGGAGAAAGUGGAUAAUUAAGGUGGAGGGAGUGGUGGAGGGAGGAAGAGGUGAAGAUGAACAGGUGGAGAAAUAGAAAAAAAAGUGGAGUGGGGGAAAAAGCAACAGGUGGAAAAUGAAUAGAAAGAAAAAUUUGAGUGGAAGAAGAAUACAGGUGGAAGUGGAGGAAUAAUUUUGAAGGGACGGGAAAGAAGAGGUGGAGGAAAAUGAGGAGGAGGAGGAAGUGGAGAGAAACAGGUGGAGGAGAAAGAGGAGGAGGAAGAGAUAAAGAAGGAACAGGUAGAGAUGAUUUUAAAUGCGAAUGACUAAAAGAAAGGAAGAAAAGAGAAAGUGGAUGGAUGAGAAAAAAAUACCCAGUUAAAUAAAAUAAAAUAAAAAAAGUAACACCUAACAAAAAAAAAUAUAAAAAUGAUAGUUAAUACAGAGAACGAGAAGAUAGGUGGACUCUACAAAACAGACAAUACAGAAUGGAAAGGGGCGGGGUGUAGCGUGGCAGCUGCUUGGGUUGGGCACGGCGCAGGGGAGGCAGUCUCAGAGCCUCAGUUUCACCUUCAGCCAGUGUGCAGCGGACAGGUGGGGAGGGCGGGUGUGUGCAACUCUGCCAAGGCCAUCAUUAGCUGAGGGCGGGGAAGGCUGGGCGACUGUGUGGUUUUAGGAGCCUAUCACGCCUAUUCCGGGCCGUUUCCCUCUCUAGAUCUACUCCGUCGAAAGUCAUUAAUGUAAAAGACUGAACCCGGUGCUUAAUAUCGUGCGUGUGACUCGUAAAGUGUUGUAUUAAAGAAGAAAACGAAGGCAGUGAUGGUGUCAGUGUGUGGCUGUGUGCUUGAGGAGGAAGAAUAGGAGGAUGCUGGCUUGUGUUAUCUCGUUGUGGUGGUGUUCUGUGGGUGGAGAUGCUGGUAGUGGUGGGAGUGGUGGUAGUGUGUCAGAGGUAAACAGUUCUCGUUGUGCAAGAACCUCGGAGCAUCUGAUAAGAGUUGUGGAAAUGCGCGGCGCCCCGGGCAUAGAGCGAGAGAUGUAUUUAAAUGUAUUUGUGGAGCGAAGAUAACACGGCUGGAUGCUUUGAAAGGGUGUUACGUGUGAUUUGACCCGAUGUUGUUUUGAAUGAAGGAUGGAAGGAGGAGGAAGGAGGAGGUGUGGAUAAGCGAGGUCAGUGAACGAACGGCGAAGAAGGAGCAAUGAAUAAGAAUGUAAAUAAAGAUGAAUUUGAUUAGUAAAGAAGGAAAAUGCAGUAAAAAAGAGAACAAACUACUCGCCAUUGAAAAGAAUAAUUACAUAGAUGGAAAAUUAGAGGAUAGGAAAGAGGAAAGAUUUAAGAGUUAGUGAGGAAGCAGCGAAGAAGUAAAAGAAAAACAAAAACAAGAAUAGAUAAACAGAACAUAAAUCCGACGUCUGAGAAAAAAGAAAAUGAGAAAAAUUAAAGAAAAAAAUGACCACCGUAAACAGUGAAGACGUAAAUGGAAAACAACAACAACAACAACAACAACAACAACA
This is a long non-coding RNA of Eriocheir sinensis (Chinese mitten crab), 1892 nucleotides long. RefSeq lists it as uncharacterized. Lineage: Eukaryota; Metazoa; Arthropoda; Malacostraca; Decapoda; Varunidae. The transcript is spliced from 2 exons. The record is from RefSeq and is a predicted model, not a curated record.